UUAAUUGAAAAGGGUAAUCCCCCUAAUUCAUGAAAUCAAAAGAACAAGGGAAUGGAAUCCCUAAUUCCUCUUCCUUUCUCUCCGGCGACUACGGCUUCAGCCUGCAGAGGAGGCGGCAACGCUGGUGGUUUUCGACGCGAAGUCGUCUCCUCUUUUCCAUCAUCCUCUUAUUUCCUCUAUCCACCUCCAUUGUAGCUUCUCCUCUUUUCUCUCUUCUCCGGCGGCAGCGGUGGUUAGAGACCAAACUAGCCAAGACGUCUUAACAACAGUAGAGCAUAGAGACGCUGUAUCGUUUUCGAAGCUCCUCCCCAGAGACUGUUCGUGAUGGUUCUCGACCAAAAAGCAUAUAGGUUAUGGUUCUAAGAUCCAAGGUGAAUUGAUCGAUGAAGAUUAAAUUGGGGACCUCGGUGGUUGUGACUAGGAAUCAGCAACGUCCAGGAAAAUUGGUAAGCUACCAUAUCCCUUUAGUAUAAGAUGUUUUUUGUUUACUGUUCAUGUUGUACACUUGUGGCUGAUGCUGAAGGUUGAUGUCGUUAUUGUCGAUGUUGUUUUGUUGUUGUUAUGGCUGAUUCGGAUUGUUAAAGGUUUGAUUUCAAGGUGGUGGGGGAUCAAAGUUUGGUUUUUCUAAUAAUGGGUUCGGUAUUUUUUUUUUGUUGAGAAAGCUUGUCGAAUUGUCUGAAAUAAUUGUGAUUAUUAGUGGUGUUUGUGGUAUUGGUUGUGAGGAAUGAAAUCGGAUGAAAACAUACUCGAAUGAAUCAUCUAUAAACUAUCAAUUAUCCCAAAAAUAUUUUAUGAUCAUGAUGCACCUUUGUUUUAACUCCUAAUCAAGUAUGGACAUAGAUGUUUCUGUAAAAUCAAACUCAGUGUAGAUUUAGAACAUAAUAUAGAAGGACAUGUUAUUGACCUAAAUGUAUUCAUGUCUACAAGUUUGCUGCUAUCAUCUCCUCAUUGAGUUCUUACUUAUUGUCCUUCAAGUAUUGAUAUCUAUUUGCCGUUUCUUUGUUAUUGCUUCUCUUUUCCUAUGUAUCUCUGCUUGCUCUAUUUUCUCCGUUGUAUGUAUGAGAUGUUACACUCUCUUUUCUGGCCUUUGUGUGUUAUACGUAUGUGUGAUAGAUAGCUAUUGUGUUGUGUAUAUAGAUUGCUCUCUGAUUGUUGUGUGUUCUUUUGUAUGUAGCAGAUGCGUAUCCUAUAUGUGUGAUAUCUGAUUGCUUGUGUUGUAGGUGUAUGUCUUUUUUGUGUGUAUCUCUCUUUCUUCUCUCUCUUCAACUUACUAUUUUUUGUUUCUGACUUUUCUAUUUCGACUGCUGAUGUAUGUAUGCUUGUGUAUGACUUAUGUAGCAUAUGUGUGCUUCCUAUUAUAGUUGACUUGUGUAUCUGAUGGCAGACCCUUAGGCUUCCACAAUAUCAUGAUCAUUGCCUUCUAAUUAUCCCAUUUUAAACCACUCAAGGAAAAUUGCCAAGUAUAAUGAUCGUAAUUAUAGCAAGUGUAACUGAAAAAGACAUUAAUUUGCAUCUGCUUGGCUGCCCCAUCACAUGUAACUCUUGGCAGAUUACUCCUUCCCUUUGAAUUCCUCGUGUGAUUGAUUUGAUUGUAACCUUCUCACUAUUUGUUAUUCCCUAUUAAUUUCUGAUAUUUGCCCAUACAACUCUGGUCACUAAUAUGCAAUUGUAACAGCUCUGCAAUUAUGGCUGCUGGAUCAAAUGCCAUGAGUCGGAUCAAAUACUAUGAGUCUUUUUUCUUUAAGAAGAGAAAGAAAGAAACAUUUUUUAGAUAUCAGUAUGCCAGGUUGAUAGGUGUUGCCGUUGUUCCUCUAAACUUCGGUGAUUUGGUCUUUGUUUUCUUUUUUAGUCAUGUGUUAAUCCUAUAGCUUGUAUUACACUUAUGUAUCAAGAUUAAUGCAAGUAUUUUAUGGUGUAUAUAAGUGAGAGUACCUCUUGUAUUCUUUUCAAUAUAUUUUGUCAAAGUGCAAGAAUAAGAAUGAGAGGAAUUUAUAUUUGACUUUCUCAGGUUCCCACUUUGAAUGUUUCUCUUCCUUUAUUAUCAUUGCCAUAGG
RNAcentral lists this long non-coding RNA (2054 nucleotides) under Lupinus angustifolius (narrow-leaved blue lupine). RNAcentral describes it as "long non-coding RNA (LANG_LNC001669)". Lineage: Eukaryota; Viridiplantae; Streptophyta; Magnoliopsida; Fabales; Fabaceae. The record is from RNAcentral.